RNAcentral lists this ribosomal RNA (253 nucleotides) under uncultured bacterium. Its description in RNAcentral is "partial 16S ribosomal RNA". It matches the Rfam family "Bacterial small subunit ribosomal RNA", at positions 524 to 776 of the family's 1533-position model. The record is from RNAcentral.
UACGUAGGGGGCAAGCGUUGUCCGGAAUCAUUGGGCGUAAAGAGCGCGUAGGCGGCCCUGUAAGUCCGCUGUGAAAGUCAAGGGCUCAACCCUUGGAUGCCGGUGGAUACUGCAGGGCUAGAGUUCGGAAGAGGCGAGUGGAAUUCCUGGUGUAGCGGUGAAAUGCGCAGAUAUCAGGAGGAGCACCGAUGGCGAAGGCAGCUCGCUGGGACGGUACUGACGCUGAGACGCGAAAGCGUGGGGAGCAAACAGG